GACGAAGGAUGCAAGCGUUAUCCGGAUUCAUUGGGUUUAAAGGGCGCUUAGGCGGACUUGUAAGUCAGUGGUGAAAUCUCUUUGCUAAACAAAGAAACUGCCAUUGAUACUGCAGGUCUAGAGUAUAGAUGACGUUGGCGGAAUAUGACAUGUAGUGGUGAAAUACUUAGAUAUGUCAUAGAACACCGAUUGCGAAUGCAGCUAACGAAACUAUUACUGACGCUGAGGCACGAAAGUGCGGGGAUCAAACAGG
This 253-nucleotide ribosomal RNA is filed under the name uncultured bacterium. RNAcentral describes it as "partial 16S ribosomal RNA". It matches the Rfam family "Bacterial small subunit ribosomal RNA", at positions 524 to 776 of the family's 1533-position model. The record is from RNAcentral.